CGGGACUGACGGGGCUCGAACCCGCAGCUUCCGCCUUGACAGGGCGGUGCUCUCACCAAUUGAACUACAAUCCC
RNAcentral lists this transfer RNA (74 nucleotides) under Glischrocaryon aureum. Its description in RNAcentral is "tRNA-Asp". Lineage: Eukaryota; Viridiplantae; Streptophyta; Magnoliopsida; Saxifragales; Haloragaceae. The record is from RNAcentral.